This 554-nucleotide ribosomal RNA is filed under the name ascomycete sp. HKB2. RNAcentral's name for it is "eukaryotic LSU rRNA". The stretch from base 186 to 339 matches the Rfam family "5.8S ribosomal RNA". Lineage: Eukaryota; Fungi; Ascomycota. The record is from RNAcentral.
UCAUUAUCCAUCCAAACCAGCUGCGGUCGCGGCCCCACGCUUACCCGUGGCGGUACGCGCCGCACGUCUGCACCCUUUUUUUACGAGUACCUUCGUUCUCCCUCGGCAGGGCAACCUGCCGUUGGAACCAUACAAAACCUUUUUUUGCAUCUAGCAUUACCUGUUCUGAUACAAACAAUCGUUACAACUUUCAACAAUGGAUCUCUUGGCUCUGGCAUCGAUGAAGAACGCAGCGAAAUGCGAUAAGUAGUGUGAAUUGCAGAAUUCAGUGAAUCAUCGAAUCUUUGAACGCACAUUGCGCCCCUUGGUAUUCCAUGGGGCAUGCCUGUUCGAGCGUCAUCUACACCCUCAAGCUCUGCUUGGUGUUGGGCGUCUGUCCCGCCUCUGCGCGUGGACUCGCCUCAAAAUCAUUGGCAGCGGUCCUUGCCUCCUCUCGCGCAGCACAUUGCGCUUCUCGAGGGGCGUGGGUCGCGUCCACGAAGCAACAUUACCGUCUUUGACCUCGGAUCAGGUAGGGAUACCCGCUGAACUUAAGCAUAUCAAUAAGCGGAGGA